GGGAGUGUUGCUCAGCGGUGAGUAGCUGGCCGCUCAUAACGAUCCGGUCGCAGGUCCGAAGCCUGCCAGUUCCACCA
Molecule: transfer RNA, 77 nt
Filed under: Stutzerimonas stutzeri
Lineage: Bacteria; Pseudomonadati; Pseudomonadota; Gammaproteobacteria; Pseudomonadales; Pseudomonadaceae
Description: Pseudomonas stutzeri tRNA-Met
Source: RNAcentral